UGUGAAAUCCCUGAUGAUAUUGAUAUCUAUCAGAAAGUCAAAUCAGCUCUUGCAAAUCAAGGUUGCCAUGGUCAAAUGUCAAUCUGGGCUUAUUGUGAGGAGGACAAGGAGCCCCUCCCUGGUAUCACCCUUGUAUCCGUAGGUGAGUUUCCUCUAGGUCCUUUGGUAUAUAAAAAUAGAGCAAUCGACUACAUAUGUCUUUUGUUUCAUUUAUAUAUGUACAUUUGUCCCUUGUAUGUGAAUUUAGGCGAUGAAACUGCGAGAUUCAAGAAAAUGCUUAGGGACAUUCUUUUCUGGGCGUUGCAAAAUCCUGUCCCCUAUCCGAGAACAACAGUACCCAGCUUAAUGGUAAUCUCAAACAUCUCAAGGAACAUUGAAUUUGCCCAUGUUCUUCAACGAUUGUCUUCGAGAGGUUACAAUGUGCUCCUUACGGUUCCUGAUGAGAAAGAAUAUAUAUGCUCCGUAUGGCUCUAUCCAAGCCUAAUAGAAAGCCGAACAAAAUUUCCCAUUUGUACAAGAUCGGACAAGAGCUUGCAUGAUAUCAAAACAGGCAUCUUUUGGAACAUUACGGGCUGCACAUUCCCAAAUGAUGAUAUUCAUCUCGAUGAACUAAAUCAGAAUUUCAAAUUAGCUAUUGAAAAUCAGGGCCAUCAUGGUGAAGUGUCAAUCAAAGCUUAUUGGCACGGGAGUAGUGGCUUAUACCAUUGGCUCCACGGAACCAUCACCUUACAAAACAGAGUGUCAGGUGAUCCUGGUAUGAAACAUAAUACAAUGUUUUUGGACAUCCUGCACCAUCAAAUUUGAUGGUAAUCUCCAAUACAAUCUCAGAAGAAACGGAGCUCUCAAGUCUUCUUCAAGAUUUGGAAUCAAAAGGCUACAAUAUUUUUGUUGCACACGCUGAAGAAGCUGCUUCACCAGUGAUACCUCCUGCAUGCUUGGAAUGGCGUUUGGAUACCCUAUUAGCUGGAGGGAACCCUAUCAACCGUACCAACUACUCACGAGAUGUCCUCAAUAUGAUUCAGAAUGAUCUCUCUUUUCGGAGGAAGGGCUGCCAUGGUAAACUAGUCGUUUUAGUUCAUAUAUAUCUCAUAGUUAUUUAUUUUGUGGAUUAUUAAUCUAAUCAAUUGUUUUUGCGUGCUACUUUUUGUGAAAGCUUGUAGAGGCUAAUACAGCCGUCUUCUGGGACAUCGAGGACUGCCCAAUACCUGGUGGUAUGGAUCCUCUUACGUUUCUUCAGAAUAUCAAAUUAGCUCUUGUGAAUCAUGGUUGUCAUGGUAACGUGUCAAUUAUGGCUUAUUGUGACAAGAAUAGGAGCCUUGAUGACUUCUCCCUCAGUGAUACCUCACCCAUCACCUUGGUACCCACAGGCAAUAAAGAUGCGAGGAUUAAGAAAAUGUUUACGGAUAUUUUUUAUUGGGCACUGGAAAAUCCCCAAACAUCAAGUGUGAUGGUGGUGAUCACAAAAAACUUCCCAUGGCACGUUUCAGAUCUUCUUUGUGAUGCUUUUGAGUCAAGAAAUUACAAUCUUCUCUUAGCAGAUCCUUAUGCAGUCGGAUAUGUAGACUCUGUAUGGCUUUCGACAAGCUUAUUUGGUGGAGGCAACCCUAUCGACCUAAAGGAAAGAAAGAAUCAUAGGUCGCCCAUAAUGCUUUCAUCAUUCUGAUCAUGCCUGCCUUUGAGGAAUUGCUUAUGUGGGUAGUGGAAGGUUUACACCAAGGGAGACUGUGCAUAGCUGAUCAUGCAUGGUUCGACCAUAAUGCUUUUAUCAGUCUCACAUUUUUUUUCUUUUGAACUAAUCUGAGUCAGUCUCACUUUGCUUUAUGUCAAAAAAUCUUUUGAGUUUGUGUAUGGACAUUGACGUGACAUCUAAUCAAGUUAUAUAUACUAUAUAUAUAGUGGAUACGGUCAGCUUUUCCUAUCGGUUAUUCUUUUUAUCCACUAUUAGCAAAACAUACUUUCAUUUGCGCCUUACAUUAGAAGUCGAAUCAUUAUUUCGAAGAAUGAUCAAACAUAAUAUGUACUUCAUUUUAAUUGUUGUUAUAGGUUUAUGCACACGAGUUAAAAAAAAAUAUGAUUUUGUAUAUUUCUAAAACAAAAACGCAAUUACUUAUAUACCUAACUAUUUUUCAACCAAUAGAAAAAUAAAAUAGAAAAUCUUAUUAAAAAAAAUUGCAUUGAAACUUUUAAAAAACACUUAUGUACUUCAUUUUAAUUGUUGUUCUAGGUUUAUGCACACAAAUUUUUAAAAAAACAUAUGAUUUUGUAUAUUUCUAAAACAAAAACGCAAUUACCUAUACACCUAACUAUUUUUCAACCAAUAGAAAAAUAAAAUAGAAAAUCUUAUUAAAAUUUUUUGCAUUGAAACUUUAAAAAACACUUAUUUUGAAAUGAAAUUUUUUCUCUGCAACGAGAAUUAAAUUGAAACAGAUGGAGUAAGAAACAAGGCUACUGCAUCGGGCACCAAAUAUAUUAUGAAUUACAAUAAGCUAAGGUCGAAGACAUGUAUAUUUUAAAAGAAAUCUGUGAAGAAAAGGAUAAAUGCUUAUAAGAGUGUGAGAAAUUCCCUAUAAUAGUUUUUUAAAGUAUUUUUCACAAAAAUAGCUUUUAAUGAAAAAAAUGACUAAAAUAAAUUUUAUUAAAAAGUAAAAAUA
Molecule: RNA transcript, 2651 nt
Organism: Brassica rapa (field mustard)
Lineage: Eukaryota; Viridiplantae; Streptophyta; Magnoliopsida; Brassicales; Brassicaceae
Source: RefSeq, a predicted model, not a curated record